This 462-nucleotide ribosomal RNA is filed under the name uncultured bacterium. Its description in RNAcentral is "partial 16S ribosomal RNA". It matches the Rfam family "Bacterial small subunit ribosomal RNA", at positions 28 to 507 of the family's 1533-position model. The record is from RNAcentral.
GACGAACGCUGGCGGCGUGCUUAACACAUGCAAGUCGAGCGGAAAGGCCCUUCGGGGUACUCGAGCGGCGAACGGGUGAGUAACACGUGAGUAACCUGCCCCAGACUUUGGGAUAACCCUCGGAAACGGGGGCUAAUCCCGGAUACGACACAGCUUCGCAUGGGGUCUGUGUGGAAAGUUUUUCGGUUUGGGAUGGGCUCGCGGCCUAUCAGCUUGUUGGUGGGGUGAUGGCCUACCAAGGCGACGACGGGUAGCCGGCCUGAGAGGGCGACCGGCCACACUGGGACUGAGGCACGGCCCAGACUCCUACGGGAGGCAGCAGUGGGGAAUAUUGCACAAUGGGCGGAAGCCUGAUGCAGCGACGCCGCGUGAGGGAUGACGGCCUUCGGGUUGUAAACCUCUUUCAGCAGGGACGAAGCGUAAGUGACGGUACCUGCAGAAGAAGCGCCGGCCAACUACGUG